GCGCCCUUAGCUCAGCUGGAUAGAGCAACGGAUUUCUAAUCCGUAGGUCAGAGGUUCGAAUCCUCUAGGGCGUACCA
Molecule: transfer RNA, 77 nt
Filed under: Rickettsiales bacterium
Lineage: Bacteria; Pseudomonadati; Pseudomonadota; Alphaproteobacteria; Rickettsiales
Description: tRNA-Arg
Rfam family: tRNA
About the family: Transfer RNA (tRNA) molecules are approximately 80 nucleotides in length.
Source: RNAcentral